Apteryx haastii (Great spotted kiwi) is the source of this 1630-nucleotide long non-coding RNA. The record is from Ensembl. Lineage: Eukaryota; Metazoa; Chordata; Aves; Apterygiformes; Apterygidae.
AUCCUGUGUCUCACCUCCCAUGUCCCAUGUCCCCCUAGUUGGUCAAGCGACAUGCUGUNAAGCGACAUGCUGUAUCCCAAAUUGUCCCAUCCUGUGUCUCACCUCCCAUGUCCCAUGUCCCCCUAGUUGGUCAAGCGACAUGCUGUAUCCCAAACUGUCCCAUCCCACCUCCCACUCCCCACGUCCCAUGUCCUCCCAGUUGGCCAAGGGACAUGCUGUAUCCCAAACUGUCCCAUCCCACCUCCCACUUUCCAUGUCCCAUGUCCCCCCAGUUGGCCAAGGGACAUGCUGUAUCCCAAACUGUCCCGUCCCACCUCCCACUUCCCAUGUCCUCCGCCCUCCCAGCUGGGCGAGGGACAUGCUGUAUUCCAAACUGUCCCAUCCUAUGUCUCACCUCCCAUGUCCCAUGUCCCCCCAGUUGGCCAAGGGACACGCUGUAUCCCAAACUGUCCUAUCGCACCUCCCACUUCCCACGUCCCCCGCCCUCCCAGCUGGCCAAGGGACACGCUGUAUCCCAAACUGUUGCGUCCCACGUCCCCCAGCCGGCCAAGGGACAGGCCGUGUCCGGCAGUGUCCCGUCCCCCGGCAUGCCAACCGGCCACCUCCCUUCCUCCAUAAAGGCCCCAUUGUUCUCCCCCGCCGGAGCCUGAAGAGCGCCGCCUGCUCCACCUUCCCCCCGCUAAUCCUCUCCGGUUGCUAUCCUUCUUCCUCCUUCGUUUGUCGCCGUGUUGAAGGUACACAAACCGCAGCCACCCCUCCCCAUCCCCUGCCACCAGGAAGCGGGAGGGGGAAAAAAUCACAGCGAUGCUUUCACGGUGGAAACCUCCGCCGUGGAGCCCGUCUGCCCCCGGGACCUGGCCUGGGCUGCGCGGCUGGGGGGCGAGAUCAGGCCUUCCGCCGGUCCUCCUUCCCUCCCUGCUCCCCGAGGAUGCUCCUGGCGUGGGCAGCCCCCCUUGCUUACGCUCAUUUUCUCUGCAGCAUAAAGUGCCAUCGGGGGUUGCUCCGGAGGGGGCUUCUGUGAGCACUGAGCGCAAGCGUGCUUAAACGCAGAGCAUUAACACGCUGCCACGCAGCCAUCGUUAUCUGGAUUCCCCCCUUCCGGCUGCUCAGAGCAAUCCGGGGAAGAGCUGACCUCAUCUGGACACUGAGCAACCCUAGAGGCCCCGUCCGCAGGCUCAGGCAGGCAGAGCUGCAGCAGCCUGCCCUGGCCUUUGGCUUCCUCUCCCGUAGAGCAGGGCUACGGAUCCCGCUCCAGAAGGGAUCUCUCCUGAGAUCAGGAGAUGACAGUGCUGCACCCGGACUGUGCGUCCCUCGCAGGAGCAGCGAUGCAAAAGUCUCCGUCUACUUCCACUGGGCUUUGUUUCUCUCCCUGGCGCAAGCCACUGAUCAACAGCUGAGCUCCUGCCCAGGAGCGAAGAUGGCAAAGACGACGAAGGACACCAAAAACUCCCCCUGGACAGGGUGCCUGGCUGGCCCUAGGUGGUGGCAUGUCUGAUGCACCGAUUUCUGUAGCUGAGAGCACACAAGGGAGCAGCGGAGCUAACGUUACACCCAGCCCGGCUCGUGGGAGCAGAGGCCCAUUUGCGAAUGGGAAAACACGUUCAAUAAAAGCCUGAAGCUAACGCGCUCA